UACGUAGGGUGCGAGCGUUGUCCGGAAUUAUUGGGCGUAAAGGGCUUGUAGGUGGCGUGUCGCGUCUGUCGUGAAAUUCACUGGCUUAACUAGUGAAGUGCGGUGGGUACGGGCAUGCUUGAGUGUGGUAGGGGAGAUUGGAAUUCCUGGUGUAGCGGUGGAAUGCGCAGAUAUCAGGAAGAACACCGGUGGCGAAGGCGGAUCUCUGGGCCAUUACUGACGCUGAGGAGCGAAAGCGUGGGGAGCGAACAGG
This 253-nucleotide ribosomal RNA is filed under the name uncultured bacterium. RNAcentral describes it as "partial 16S ribosomal RNA". It matches the Rfam family "Bacterial small subunit ribosomal RNA", at positions 524 to 776 of the family's 1533-position model. The record is from RNAcentral.